GCAAGUCGAGGGGUAACAGAGGAGCUUGCUUCUGCUGACGACCGGCGCACGGGUGCGUAACGCGUAUAGAAUCUACCUUACACUGAGGGAUAGCCUUUGGAAACGAAGAUUAAUACCUUAUAGUAUACUGACUUGGCAUCAAGACAGUAUUAAAGGUUACGGUGUAAGAUGACUAUGCGUUCUAUUAGCUAGAUGGUAAGGUAACGGCUUACCAUGGCAACGAUAGAUAGGGGCCCUGAGAGGGGGAUC
Molecule: ribosomal RNA, 249 nt
Filed under: uncultured bacterium
Lineage: Bacteria
Description: partial 16S ribosomal RNA
Rfam family: Bacterial small subunit ribosomal RNA
Source: RNAcentral